This 448-nucleotide ribosomal RNA is filed under the name uncultured bacterium. RNAcentral's name for it is "bacterial SSU rRNA". It matches the Rfam family "Bacterial small subunit ribosomal RNA", at positions 355 to 825 of the family's 1533-position model. The record is from RNAcentral.
CAGGGAAUCUUGCACAAUGGGCGAAAGCCUGAUGCAGCGACGCCGCGUGGGGGAUGAAGGCCUUAGGGUCGUAAACCCCUUUCAGCAGGGACGAAAAUGACGGUACCUGCAGAAGGAGCCCCGGCCAACUACGUGCCAGCAGCCGCGGUAAGACGUAGGGGGCGAGCGUUGUCCGGAUUUAUUGGGCGUAAAGAGCUCGUAGGCGGUUGCGUAAGUCGGAUGUGAAAACUCAGGGCUCAACCCUGAGACGCCAUCCGAUACUGCGCUGACUUGAAUCCAGUAGGGGAGUGUGGAAUUCCUGGUGUAGCGGUGAAAUGCGCAGAUAUCAGGAGGAACACCCAUGGCGAAGGCAGCACUCUGGGCUGGUAUUGACGCUGAGGAGCGAAAGCAUGGGUAGCGAACAGGAUUAGAUACCCCCGUAGUCCCUGAGCGGGCUGGCAAGGCGCAU